This 58-nucleotide transfer RNA is filed under the name Deltaproteobacteria bacterium. RNAcentral's name for it is "tRNA-His". The record is from RNAcentral. Lineage: Bacteria; Pseudomonadati; Myxococcota; Myxococcia.
ACUUCAGUUGGUAGAGCACUGGGUUGUGGCCCCAGUUGUCGAGGGUUCAAGUCCCUUC